UACAUGCAGUCGAACGCUUCUUUUUCCACCGGAGCUUGCUCCACCGGAAAAAGAGGAGUGGCGAACGGGUGAGUAACACGUGGGUAACCUGCCCAUCAGAAGGGGAUAACACUUGGAAACAGGUGCUAAUACCGUAUAACAAUCAAAACCGCAUGGUUUUGAUUUGAAAGGCGCUUUCGGGUGUCGCUGAUGGAUGGACCCAAGGUGCAUUAGCUAGUUGGGGAGG
Molecule: ribosomal RNA, 226 nt
Filed under: Enterococcus faecium
Lineage: Bacteria; Bacillati; Bacillota; Bacilli; Lactobacillales; Enterococcaceae
Description: partial 16S ribosomal RNA
Rfam family: Bacterial small subunit ribosomal RNA
Source: RNAcentral